AAAUUGAAGAGUUUGAUCAUGGCUCAGAUUGAACGCUGGCGGCAGGCCUAACACAUGCAAGUCGAACGGUAACAGGAAGCAGCUUGCUGCUUCGCUGACGAGUGGCGGACGGGUGAGUAAUGUCUGGGAAACUGCCUGAUGGAGGGGGAUAACUACUGGAAACGGUGGCUAAUACCGCAUAACGUCGCAAGACCAAAGAGGGGGACCUUCGGGCCUCUUGCCAUCAGAUGUGCCCAGAUGGGAUUAGCUUGUUGGUGAGGUAACGGCUCACCAAGGCGACGAUCCCUAGCUGGUCUGAGAGGAUGACCAGCCACACUGGAACUGAGACACGGUCCAGACUCCUACGGGAGGCAGCAGUGGGGAAUAUUGCACAAUGGGCGCAAGCCUGAUGCAGCCAUGCCGCGUGUAUGAAGAAGGCCUUCGGGUUGUAAAGUACUUUCAGCGGGGAGGAAGGUGUUGUGGUUAAUAACCGCAGCAAUUGACGUUACCCGCAGAAGAAGCACCGGCUAACUCCGUGCCAGCAGCCGCGGUAAUACGGAGGGUGCAAGCGUUAAUCGGAAUUACUGGGCGUAAAGCGCACGCAGGCGGUCUGUCAAGUCGGAUGUGAAAUCCCCGGGCUCAACCUGGGAACUGCAUUCGAAACUGGCAGGCUUGAGUCUUGUAGAGGGGGGUAGAAUUCCAGGUGUAGCGGUGAAAUGCGUAGAGAUCUGGAGGAAUACCGGUGGCGAAGGCGGCCCCCUGGACAAAGACUGACGCUCAGGUGCGAAAGCGUGGGGAGCAAACAGGAUUAGAUACCCUGGUAGUCCACGCCGUAAACGAUGUCUACUUGGAGGUUGUGCCCUUGAGGCGUGGCUUCCGGAGCUAACGCGUUAAGUAGACCGCCUGGGGAGUACGGCCGCAAGGUUAAAACUCAAAUGAAUUGACGGGGGCCCGCACAAGCGGUGGAGCAUGUGGUUUAAUUCGAUGCAACGCGAAGAACCUUACCUGGUCUUGACAUCCACAGAACUUUCCAGAGAUGGAUUGGUGCCUUCGGGAACUGUGAGACAGGUGCUGCAUGGCUGUCGUCAGCUCGUGUUGUGAAAUGUUGGGUUAAGUCCCGCAACGAGCGCAACCCUUAUCCUUUGUUGCCAGCGGUUAGGCCGGGAACUCAAAGGAGACUGCCAGU
RNAcentral lists this ribosomal RNA (1165 nucleotides) under Salmonella enterica subsp. enterica serovar Heidelberg. Its description in RNAcentral is "bacterial SSU rRNA". It matches the Rfam family "Bacterial small subunit ribosomal RNA", at positions 1 to 1156 of the family's 1533-position model. The record is from RNAcentral. Lineage: Bacteria; Pseudomonadati; Pseudomonadota; Gammaproteobacteria; Enterobacterales; Enterobacteriaceae.